CAAGAGUACGUGAAACUGCUUAGAGGUUAAGCCCGAUGAACCUGAAUAUCCAUUAUGGAAAAUUCAUCAUUAUUACGCUAUAAUACCACAAAUAUUAUAGGUUAUAGUGUGCAUUUUUUCCAUAUAAGGACAUUGUAAUCUAUUAACAUUUAUAAUUUAUUAUAAGAUUAUAUGAUAUAAGUUUAUUUGAAUUAAUUUACUGUAUUGUAAAUUAACAUAAAAUAAAUGCAAAUAAUUUAAUAAAGUGUUGAUAGAUUUAUUGUAUAUUGUGCAAAAAUUCAUUUAUGAAUUUUACAAAAAUAAUUAUAUAUAUAUUUUUAUUAUAUUUGUAUGUACUUUUAUAUGAUUAACAAUGCGAAAGAUUCAGGAUACCUUCGGGACCCGUCUUGAAACACGGACCAAGGAGUCUAACAUAUGUGCAAGUCAUUGGGAUAAUAAAAACCCAAUGGCAUAAUUAACUUAACUUUAUAUAUUAAAUGGGAUUAAUUUUUAGUUCUUUAUAAGGACUUUGAAUUCAAUCCCGGGGCGUUCUAUACAGUUAUGUAUAAUAAUAUUUUAUAUUA
Molecule: ribosomal RNA, 563 nt
Filed under: Clusiodes ruficollis
Lineage: Eukaryota; Metazoa; Arthropoda; Insecta; Diptera; Clusiidae
Description: eukaryotic LSU rRNA
Source: RNAcentral